CUACGGGGGGUUCCAGUGGGGAAUAUUGGACAAUGGGCGCAAGCCUGAUCCAGCAAUGCCGCGUGAGUGAAGACGGCCUUAGGGUUGUAAAACUCUUUCGCUAGGGAAGAUAAUGACUGUACCUAGUAAAGAAGUCCCGGCUAACUCCGUGCCAGCAGCCGCGGUAAUACGGAGGGGACUAGCGUUGUUCGGAAUUACUGGGCGUAAAGAGUUCGUAGGCGGACUGAAAUGUUAGAGGUGAAAUCCCAGGGCUCAACCCUGGAACUGCCUUUAAAACUGUCAGUCUAGAGACCGGAAGAGGUUAGGGGAAUACCUAGUGUAGAGGUGAAAUUCGUAGAUAUUAGGUGGAACACCAGUGGCGAAGGCGCCUAACUGGUCCGGUACUGACGCUGAGGAACGAAAGCGUGGGGAGCAAACAGGAUUAGAUACCCCGGUAGUC
Molecule: ribosomal RNA, 439 nt
Filed under: uncultured bacterium
Lineage: Bacteria
Description: partial 16S ribosomal RNA
Rfam family: Bacterial small subunit ribosomal RNA
Source: RNAcentral